RNAcentral lists this ribosomal RNA (497 nucleotides) under uncultured bacterium. RNAcentral's name for it is "partial 16S ribosomal RNA". It matches the Rfam family "Bacterial small subunit ribosomal RNA", at positions 28 to 507 of the family's 1533-position model. The record is from RNAcentral.
GAUGAACGCUGGCGGCGUGCCUAAUACAUGCAAGUCGAGCGAACGGACGAGAAGCUUGCUUCUCUGAUGUUAGCGGCGGACGGGUGAGUAACACGUGGAUAACCUACCUAUAAGACUGGGAUAACUUCGGGAAACCGUAGCUAAUACCGGAUAAUAUUUUGAACCGCAUGGUUCAAAAGUGAAAGACGGUCUUGCUGUCACUUAUAGAUGGAUCCGCGCUGCAUUAGCUAGUUGGUAAGGUAACGGCUUACCGAGGCAACGAUGCAUAGCCGACCUGAGCGGGUGAUCGGCCACCCUGGAACUGAGACACGGUCCAGACUCCUACGGGAGGCAGCAGUAGGGAAUCUUCCGCAAUGGGCGAAAGCCUGACGGAGCAACGCCGCGUGAGUGAUGAAGGUCUUCGGAUCGUAAACCUCUGUUAUUAGGGAAGAACAUAUGUGUAAGUAACUGUGCACAUCUUGACGGUACCUAAUCAGAAAGCCACGGCUAACUACGUG